RNA transcript from Zea mays, 2614 nucleotides. It is a transcript of the gene named zinc finger MYM-type protein 1-like, with no coding region annotated. Lineage: Eukaryota; Viridiplantae; Streptophyta; Magnoliopsida; Poales; Poaceae. The record is from RefSeq and is a predicted model, not a curated record. The transcript is spliced from 4 exons.
GCCCAGGCGCCCAGCCAGCCGGCGGUUCUCUUCCACCGUUCGACCAGCCGCCAGCGUCCAGCGGCUUGCGGGCUGCGGCCCCGCCGUUCGCCCAGCGGCCCCGCCGUCGAGGCCAGGACUCAGGAGCCCAGGACCCAGCCACCGAGCGGCCUUUAAACCUCACAGAAAUAUUGGGUGAAGCAAAUGAGAAGGUUUUUUCAGCCACUUUCAAGAGGCUCUGGCACUAAUGCUAAUAAUAAUGUGAAUAACACACCAAUUGUUGGAGGGACGUUCAAUCCGGAUGACAUAGUUGCAGAUCCCGCUUUAAGGAGGCAAAUUUAUGAAUAUGAUAAAGAUGUCCAAGACCAAGUGAGAAGGGCAUAUGUUCUAAAUGGUCCAUGCCAACCAAAGGGUUUAGAUUUCCCUCGUAGACAGUAUGGACAAAGUUUAAGGCCUUUUAAAGAGGAAUGGUAUGACAAGUAUGAUUGGUUGGAGUAUAGUGAAUCAAAAGAUGCAGUGUAUUGCUUUUAUUGCUUUCUUUUUAAGCAAGCAGUGAAGGGUGAUAAAUAUGAAGCUUUCACUAAAGUUGGGUAUAAUAAUUGGAAAGAUGCAGUUGAAAGGUUGAAAUCACAUGUUGGUGGUGUUAACAGUAUCCACAACAAUGCUAGGUUACAUUUUGAUGAUUUUAACAACCAAAGACAAAGCAUAUCUACUAUCAUGUCUAGUGCCAGUCGUGAGGCUGAAGACCUUUAUAAAAUUCGUUUGACUUCUUCAUUGGCUUGUUCCAGAUUUCUUUUGAUGCAAGGUUUGGCUUUUCGUGGUCAUGAUGAAUCAUCUAGUUCGCUAAAUAAGGGAAAUUUUCUAGAAUUGAUUUAUUGGAUGAAAGAUAAAAUUAAAGAAGUGAGAGAUGCUUUUGAGCGUGCUCCAAGAAAUUGCAUUAUGAUAUCACCACAUAUUCAAAAAGAUCUUGCAAAGUGUUGUGCUCAACAGAUCACAGAGAACAUCCUAGGAGAAAUAGGAGAUAGAAACUUCUCUAUUCUUAUUGAUGAAUCACGUGAUGUUUCUGUUAAAGAACAAAUGGCGGUGAUAUUGAGAUAUGUGAAUAAUCAAGGCCAUGUGAUGGAACGGUUUCUUGCGCUCAAGCAUGUUAAGGAUACUACAUCAGAAGCCUUGAAGGAAGCUAUUUUUGGCCUUCUUGAUCACCAUGGAUUAUCUAUAUCCAAGAUCAGGGGGCAAGGAUUUCAUGGCGCAUCGAAUAUGCGAGGUGAAUUUAAUGGCUUACAAAGAAAGAUACUUGAUAUUAAUCCACAUGCCUAUUAUGUUCAUUGUUUUGCACAUCAACUUCAACUUGUGGUGGUUUCUAUUGCUAGUAGUGCUUGUUGCCAAUCAGUUCAUGACUUCUUUGAGUACAUCCACUUAAUUGUCACCACCACAAGCUCAUCUUGCAAGAGAAGGGAUGCUCUAAAAGAAAAACACCACCAGAAUAUUUUAGAAAAACUAGAAAGGGGUGAAAUUUUAUCUGGUAGAGGUGUGAAUCAAGAAACUAACCUUGCUAGACCUGGUGACACAAGAUGGGGUUCACAUUAUUUAACAUUGCUUCGAUUAGAGACAAUGUGGGACUCAGUAUUGCAUGUUCUUACCAUUGUGCAUGAAGAUGGUCGUGUACCAACACAGGCAGCAGGGUUGAUUGAAAAAAUGGAGAGCUUCAAAUUUGUUUUCAUUUUAAAAUUGAUGUUGAAAAUGCUUGCAAUCACAAAUGAGCUCUCUCAAACCUUGCAAAGGAAGAAUGCCAACAUUGUUCAUGCUAUGGAGUUGCUUGAUGUUGUGAAAACCCGAAUGGCUACAAUGAGGACAGAUAGUGGUUGGGAGUCAUUCUUUCAAAGCGUGAAAGAAUUCUGUGCUCAAAAGGGUAUUCCUGUGGUAGAUAUGGAUGAAGAAGUGCCUAUUAGAGGUCGUUCAAGGCGAGAUGGCUUCACAAUCACAAACCUUCACUACUACCGCACCGAGAUAUUCUUUGUUGUUCUUGAUAAAAUCAACACUGAGUUAUGCCAUCGCUUUAAUGAAGUUUCUAGCGAGUUGCUUGUUUGCUUUUCUUGCCUCGAUCCAAAGAACUUAUUUUUGCAGUUUUGAUAUAGAGAAACUUGUUCGGCUUGGUACUCUAUAUGAUAAGGAUUUUUCAGUUAUUGAAUGUGCAAUGUUAAGAGAGCAACUUGAGACAUACAUUGUCCACGUGCGAAGGCAUGCUGCUUUUGGUACUUGUGAAGAUAUUGCAUCUCUAUCUAUGAAGAUGGUUGAAACUAAAAAGCAUCUUGUGUUCCCUUUGGUUUUCAAGCUAAUUGAGUUGGCCUUGUUAUUACCCGUCUCAACAGCAAGUGUUGAGAGAAUAUUUUCGGCAAUGAACAUCAUUAAGAGAGAAUUGCGUAACAAAAUUGAAGAUGAUUGGAUGAAUGAUUUGAUGGUUUGCUAUACGGAGAAAGAGAUAUUCAAAUCCCUUGAUGAUGAGACUAUUACUAGAAGAUUCCAGCGUCUUAAAACUAGAAGAAUGCAAUUGCCUCGAGUCACAACUACAAGAUUGACAACUUAGUGAUUGGAUUUUUGUUGGUGAUUUUGGUGCCGCACUGCAGAUUAAGAGAGA